GCGGGCUUGGAAUUAAGAUGCUGUGGGCCCGCAUCAGCGCGUCUAAGCUGGUGAUCACGGGGAUCUUUGCACGCCAGCAAGUAUAGCCGCGUCACUCUAAAGUAGGCCGCCGGGGGGUAGCUCGCCAUUGCUCCGGUGCUCCGAAUUUUAUGUGAGUUGACGCGCCGCGCGCUUCAAAGGGGUGGCCGUUGUGGUGACGGCCAGAAAGCGCGGACGCCG
RNAcentral lists this non-coding RNA (219 nucleotides) under unclassified sequences. Its description in RNAcentral is "PAGEV RNA". It matches the Rfam family "PAGEV RNA". The record is from Rfam by way of RNAcentral.